CUGAGAAUGUCCUGUGCGUCCUGCUUGUUGAAGAAAAAUUAUUUGUCUAAUCCGAGGUGAGUGAUCGCUGUCCUGAUAUCCAGAAGCUCUUUGUCUAAUCCGAGGUGAGUGAUCGCUGUCCUGAUAUCCAGAAGCUCUUUGUCUAAUCCGAGGUGAGUGAUCGCUGUCCUGAUAUCCAGAAGAUCUUUGUCUAAUCCGAGGUGAGUGAUCGCUGUCCUGAUAUCCAGAAGCUCUUAGUCUAAUCCGAGGUGAGUGAUCGCUGUCCUGAUAUCCAGAAGCUCUUUGUCUAAUCCGAGGUGAGUGAUCGCUGUCCUGAUAUCCAGAAGCUCUUUGUCUAAUCCGAGGUGAGUGAUCGCUGUCCUGAUAUCCAGAAGCUCUUAGUCUAAUCCAAGGUGAGCGAUCGCUGUCCUGAUAUCCAGAAGCUCUUUUUU
Long non-coding RNA from Oncorhynchus tshawytscha (Chinook salmon), 431 nucleotides. Lineage: Eukaryota; Metazoa; Chordata; Actinopteri; Salmoniformes; Salmonidae. The record is from Ensembl.